This 497-nucleotide ribosomal RNA is filed under the name uncultured bacterium. RNAcentral's name for it is "partial 16S ribosomal RNA". It matches the Rfam family "Bacterial small subunit ribosomal RNA", at positions 28 to 507 of the family's 1533-position model. The record is from RNAcentral.
GAUGAACGCUGGCGGCGUGCCUAAUACAUGCAAGUCGAGCGAACGGACGAGGAGCUUGCUCCUUUGACGUUAGCGGCGGACGGGUGAGUAACACGUGGAUAACCUACCUAUAAGACUGGGAUAACUUCGGGAAACCGGAGCUAAUACCGGAUAAUAUAUUGAACCGCAUGGUUCAAUAGUGAAAGACGGUUUUGCUGUCACUUAUAGAUGGAUCCGCGCCGCAUUAGCUAGUUGGUAAGGUAACGGCUUACCAAGGCAACGAUGCGUAGCCGACCUGAGAGGGUGAUCGGCCACUCUGGAACUGAGACACGGUCCAGACUCCUACGGGAGGCAGCAGUAGGGAAUCUUCCGCAAUGGGCGAAAGCCUGACGGAGCAACGCCGCGUGAGUGAUGAAGGUCUUCGGAUCGUAAAACUCUGUUAUUAGGGAAGAACAAAUGUGUAAGUAACUAUGCACGUCUUGACGGUACCUAAUCAGAAAGCCACGGCUAACUACGUG